UAAUGAUGAAUGUUGAUGACGAGUCAGACAUCAUAUUUGAUGUUGAUAACUUUUUUUACCAUUCAUGCUUAACUGAAU
RNAcentral lists this small nucleolar RNA (78 nucleotides) under Pneumocystis murina B123. The record is from RNAcentral. Lineage: Eukaryota; Fungi; Ascomycota; Pneumocystomycetes; Pneumocystales; Pneumocystaceae.